RNAcentral lists this long non-coding RNA (291 nucleotides) under Physcomitrium patens. RNAcentral's name for it is "long non-coding RNA (PPAT_LNC011645)". The record is from RNAcentral. Lineage: Eukaryota; Viridiplantae; Streptophyta; Bryopsida; Funariales; Funariaceae.
UCCGAUUGAAUCCAAGCUGGAAGCAUAGGAAAAGCGUUUCAAGAGGCAACGAGGGACCCGACUCAGAAUAGAGCCCCUCAAACCAUCAAACUGAAAUCUUAGUGGUAGUGGGUGAGAUAAGAGGAGAAGGAAGACAGGAAAACUAAUUGUGCAUGUCGGAUUCAGACAUCCCCAACAGCUAGAAACAGAUUCGACAAGAAAGAAGAAUAUACGCCUUGAUCACCAACACUGAAACCUCGCCUUCCGACUCCAACUCAGGCACAACAACCCCCAUCAAUUUUUUUUAUUUUU